CUGCCUGCGCCGAUGGUACUGCUAUUGCGGGAGAGUAGGUCGUCGCCAGUU
This 51-nucleotide ribosomal RNA is filed under the name Algoriella xinjiangensis. The record is from RNAcentral. Lineage: Bacteria; Pseudomonadati; Bacteroidota; Flavobacteriia; Flavobacteriales; Weeksellaceae.